CAGGCCUAACACAUGCAAGUCGAACGGAAAGGCCCUUCGGGGUACUCGAGUGGCGAACGGGUGAGUAACACGUGGGUGAUCUGCCCUGCACUUUGGGAUAAGCCUGGGAAACUGGGUCUAAUACCGAAUAUGACUGCGCUCUUCAUGGGGUGUGGUGGAAAGCUUUUGCGGUGUGGGAUGGGCCCGCGGCCUAUCAGCUUGUUGGUGGGGUAAUGGCCUACCAAGGCGACGACGGGUAGCCGGCCUGAGAGGGUGACCGGCCACACUGGGACUGAGAUACGGCCCAGACUCCUACGGGAGGCAGCAGUGGGGAAUAUUGCACAAUGGGCGCAAGCCUGAUGCAGCGACGCCGCGUGAGGGAUGACGGCCUUCGGGUUGUAAACCUCUUUCAGCAGGGACG
RNAcentral lists this ribosomal RNA (400 nucleotides) under uncultured bacterium. Its description in RNAcentral is "bacterial SSU rRNA". It matches the Rfam family "Bacterial small subunit ribosomal RNA", at positions 43 to 447 of the family's 1533-position model. The record is from RNAcentral.